RNAcentral lists this ribosomal RNA (506 nucleotides) under uncultured bacterium. RNAcentral describes it as "partial 16S ribosomal RNA". It matches the Rfam family "Bacterial small subunit ribosomal RNA", at positions 28 to 523 of the family's 1533-position model. The record is from RNAcentral.
GAUGAACGCUAGCUACAGGCUUAACACAUGCAAGUCGAGGGGUAACGAGAGGAAAGCUUGCUUUCCUUGUUGACGACCGGCGCACGGGUGAGUAACGCGUAUCCAACCUGCCCCCAACUAGGGAAUAACCUUGCGAAAGUAAGACUAAUACCCUAUAAUUUCCUCAGAUGUCAUCUGACGAGGAAUAAAGAUUUAUCGGUUGUGGAUGGGGAUGCGUCUGAUUAGCUUGUUGGCGGGGUAAGGGCCCACCAAGGCAACGAUCAGUAGGGGUUCUGAUGGCACGGUCCCCCACAUUGGAACUGAGACACUGUCCAACCGCCUACGGGAGGCAGCAGUGAGGAAUAUUGGUCAAUGGGCGGAAGCCUGAACCAGCCAAGUAGCGUGCAGGAUGACGGCCCUAUGGGUUGUAAACUGCUUUUAUACAGGAAUAAAGUUAGCCACGUGUGGUUAUUUGUAGGUACUGUAUGAAUAAGGACCGGCUAAUUCCGUGCCAGCCGCCGCCGUAA